This 595-nucleotide ribosomal RNA is filed under the name Triscelophorus cf. acuminatus UMB-875.12. RNAcentral's name for it is "eukaryotic LSU rRNA". The stretch from base 236 to 389 matches the Rfam family "5.8S ribosomal RNA". The record is from RNAcentral. Lineage: Eukaryota; Fungi; Ascomycota; Dothideomycetes. RNAcentral also lists the same sequence under 2 other names.
AAGGAUCAUUAACGAGUUUUUAUUUGGUUGUAUUACCAAAAACUCCCACCCAAUGUUUAUUUUUGGAGACUAUAUGCUUUGGCAGGACAGUUUUGAAAAAAAAAACUGACUGGAACUGAUGAAAUAUGUCAUUGAUAUAUGAAAUCAACUGGUUUUGUUGCCUGCCAAAGUAACCAAACAAACUCUGUUUUAAUAACCUGAAAAAAGUCUGAGAAAUAUUUUGAAAAUAAAUCAAAACUUUCAACAACGGAUCUCUUGGUUCUGGCAUCGAUGAAGAACGCAGCGAAAUGCGAUAAGUAAUGUGAAUUGCAGAAUUCAGCGAAUCAUCGAAUCUUUGAACGCACAUUGCGCCUCUUGGUAUUCCUUGAGGCAUGCCUGUUCGAGCGUCGUUUUGACCAUAAGGCUUUGCCUUGCGAUGAGAAUUUUGAAAUUGUUUUAUUACGAGUUCAAAACCUCCAAACUUAUUGGCAUCUGAUUUUUUGGCCAACAACACAGCGAUAUGUGUUUGGAAAACCAAGAAAGCGUGAUUGCUCUUUAAAACCCCAAUUUUUAAAAGGUCGACCUCGAAUCAAGCAAGACUACCCACUGAACUUAA